Long non-coding RNA from Sarcophilus harrisii (Tasmanian devil), 1452 nucleotides. RefSeq lists it as uncharacterized. NCBI's taxonomy places the organism in Eukaryota, Metazoa, Chordata, Mammalia, Dasyuromorphia, Dasyuridae. The transcript is spliced from 3 exons. The record is from RefSeq and is a predicted model, not a curated record.
AAUAGGCUAGAGUCAAGGUUGGGGUUGAAAGUGAAAUUGUAUGUUAUAAAAGAUUUAGGAUUCAUUAUCAGAUUAGUGGGAAGCAGGUUUAUCUCUAAGGGAAAGAUUGUCUCACAGAAUUGCUUAUAAAACUGUGUAUCCAAUGGGUUUUUUUCAGUAUAGGUAAUAUGUUCACCCUUAUGUGAACUCAAAUGGCUAUAUUGGUUAUCAGGUACUGGAGUGGAGAAAUUGACUCAAUAUUGCAGACUCAAAUCAGGAUGAAAGAUGUUUUAUAUGAGGAGAGAAGUAUGUACAUUUUUUUUCUGCCUAUCUAAAAACAAUUAGUGAUGAAAGGCGAGGUAAUAGAGCUCUGAGCAGGCCACUUCAUAUGAGAAAAAUGUUAAUUGAGAUACCAAUCUUGAAUGACUUUUGAGUUUCAUUUUUUGGUUGUGAUAUGCUCUUGGAAGAUAAUGGUAUCUUAGGCUCUAACAUUUGUUGCAUAGCAUGAGAACAAAUUUAGAACUUGAUAGGAAAUUUCCCAAGUCAAUAUAUACUUCAUUAUUCAAUGUUUUCAGUAAGUAGUAGUACCUAUAAUUUAUUUCACUUUGGAACAAAUUGAGAAGGUAGCUGGAAGAUUAUCCAAGAUUAUAUCAUGGCAGUUAGAUCACAGGUUAUAUAAGUUGAAAGAAGAUGAGAUGACUUAACUGUCAGAAAGUUCAGCAUUUAGAAAUUGGAGAGUGGGAUAUAGGUCUUAGAAAAAGGGAAUUAUGAUGACAGUAGAUCAUCAUAAUGGGCUGGGUGAGAGAUCAGGUUUAAGCAAUGAAGACUGGGAGGGGACCACUAUGCAUGAGGUUUAGAGUUGGAGGGAAAGAACUGUAUUCUUUAGAUGUCAGAUCUCUGGGAAGAGCCCCAGGCACUUUAUUCUGCUUCAAGUGAGGAUGAACAAAGGGGAAGAACUCUACCACAAUUUGGGAGUGAUAAAUAAGAGAAGCCAAAACUAAAUUCAGGUAAUUUAUGUCAUGGAAAUUCCUCAUCUUACUAUUCAAGCCUGUUUCAUCUAGUUCUAUUUCCAGUAGAAAUGGAGUUCUGACAGUAAAUGACUGUGGAUAAAUGAAUAUUAACUAUACUGGGGUGUAGGCUUUACAUCCUUCAAUUAUCCCUCCUGGAAGCACUUUGUGGGAUACUUGGGCUGUUUUCUACAGUGACAUUAAAGAAGAUGAUCUGUGGUACCAUCUAACUGUCCACAUUCUCAAAUCCAAUACAAUCCAGUCUCUUCCUUCUACUCAGUUCUGUAGUCAGAUCAUUGUUCAAUAUAUAAAACUCAUCCAAAGUACAUUUGUUUUUCACUGUGCAAAUUAAAUUUAUUUCUAGCUUUUUAUUUUAAAUCUAGUGACCACAAAAAAGCAAAAAUUCCAUAUAAAAAUAGAAUAAAAGGGGAUCAUAUAUGAAACCAAAUCUCUUAUGCAUAUGUUU